AUGGCUGGUAGAUGUUUUGCCUCAAUAUUUUGGGGUGUGGUGGCAGAUCGUAUUGGAAGAAAACCUAUCAUUGCGUUCUCCCUCUUCACAGUGGUAAUAUUUAAUACUUUAUUUGGACUGAGUACAAAGUAUUGGAUGGCGAUUACCACAAGAAUGCUUCUUGGUUCACUUAAUGGCAUGCUUGCCCCAAUAAAGGCUUAUUCAGCUGAAGUUUGUCGGCCUGAACAUCAUGCUCUAGGAUUAUCCAUUGUAAGCACUGGUUGGGGCAUAGGUCUUGUUAUCGGUCCAUCUAUUGGAGGAUUUUUGGCACAGCCUGCAAAGCAAUAUCCAAAUCUAUUUUCAGAUAAGUCAAUUUUUGGGAGGUUUCCUUAUUUCCUGCCAUGCCUUUGUAUUUCACUGGUUGCGUUGGUUGUUUUAAUAAGCUGCAUAUGGCUACCGGAGACUCUUCAUAUGCAUAAAAACUUGCGAAGAGAAGUAGAAAUGGUUGAUGACUCAAGUUCGAUUCCCAGUGGAGAAGCAUAUACGAAUUCAGAGAAGAGCCUAUAUCGGAACUGUCCAUUGAUGUCCUCUAUAAUUGCCUAUUGUGUUUUCACCCUUCAUGACACGGCAUACAGCGAGAUACUUGCCUUGUGGGCUGUAAGUGACAAAAGCUACGGUGGACUAAGCUUGGCAUCUAAAGAUGUCGGUCAAAUUCUUGCGGUUUCAGGUGCUGGUCUUCUUGCGUACCAACUGCUGGUUUACAGACAUGUUCAUAAAUAUCUCGGAUCCAUCGUAUCAUCCCGCAUUGCAGCUGCUCUGUCCAUACCUCUUCUUGCUGCUUACCCGUUCAUGUCACAACUAUCAGGGACUAGAUUUGGGUUAGCUAUUUAUUUUGCCACAAUUUUAAAGGGUACUUUGGCGACGACUAUCUUAACAGGCACUUGCAUUCUGCAAAACAAUGCUGUGGUAAAUAUCAAGUCAAUUCAAUUACUUGGAUUUUGUUUGCGCAAUUAUUGCUUAUGGGUAGCUAAUCAAGUUUACUUUAAACGACAGCCACAAAAUCAAAGAGGUGCUGCAAACGGCGUAUCUACAACUGCAAUGUCCCUGUUCAAGGCUAUCGCUCCAGCAGGAGCAGGUGCUCUGUGA
RNAcentral lists this ribosomal RNA (1125 nucleotides) under Triticum aestivum (bread wheat). Its description in RNAcentral is "partial small subunit ribosomal RNA". The record is from RNAcentral. Lineage: Eukaryota; Viridiplantae; Streptophyta; Magnoliopsida; Poales; Poaceae.